RNAcentral lists this ribosomal RNA (403 nucleotides) under uncultured bacterium. Its description in RNAcentral is "bacterial SSU rRNA". It matches the Rfam family "Bacterial small subunit ribosomal RNA", at positions 29 to 436 of the family's 1533-position model. The record is from RNAcentral.
AGCGAACGUUUGCGGCGGGCCUAACACAUGCAAGUCGAACGCACUAGCAAUAGUGAGUGGCGCACGGGUGCGUAACACGUGGGUAAUCAACCCUUCAGCUUGGGAUAACGACUUGAAAGGGUCGCUAAUACCGGAUACGGCGCGGGAGGCUUCGGCUUCUCACGAGAAAGCCUCGCAAGGGGUACUGAAGGACGAGCCUGCGGCCCAUCAGCUAGUUGGUGAGGUAAGAGCUCACCAAGGCGAAGACGGGUAGCUGGUCUGAGAGGAUGAUCAGCCACACUGGAACUGAGACACGGUCCAGACUCCUACGGGAGGCAGCAGUGGGGAAUAUUGCGCAAUGGGCGAAAGCCUGACGCAGCCACGCCGCGUGAGCGAUGAAGGCCUUCGGUCGUAAGACGUCUGU